UAAACCUCAAUCCCCUGGGUUUUGCGACCUGGGUGGACUUGGAUCUUGGGCGUCUGCCAGCUAAUGGCUCGCCUCAAAUGACUUAGUGGGAUUAGCGCUCAUGGCUUCAGACGUAAUAAGUUUCGUCUGGCUGUGUGGUGUGUUGCCCUCUGACAAACCCCAAUCAUUUGUAA
RNAcentral lists this unclassified non-coding RNA (173 nucleotides) under uncultured Tremellales. RNAcentral's name for it is "sequence contains ITS2". Lineage: Eukaryota; Fungi; Basidiomycota; Tremellomycetes; Tremellales. The record is from RNAcentral.